This 190-nucleotide non-coding RNA is filed under the name Streptococcus sp. DD12. RNAcentral describes it as "6S / SsrS RNA". It matches the Rfam family "6S / SsrS RNA". Rfam says of the family: E. coli 6S RNA was the first non coding RNA to be sequenced, but its function was unknown until recently. It consists of 184 nucleotides that fold into an extended hairpin structure with a large single-stranded internal bulge. The 6S RNA specifically associates with RNA polymerase holoenzyme containing the sigma70 specificity factor. Lineage: Bacteria; Bacillati; Bacillota; Bacilli; Lactobacillales; Streptococcaceae. The record is from Rfam by way of RNAcentral.
UAGUUGCUGUGGUAUACGAAUCUACACCAAUGUGUUGACCGACUAAAUCUUUGUAUUUCGGGAGACAAAAGUCAUCUAACAGUAUGCAGGCCGUUUCACGCGGAGCAACUUCAGUUAGAGCGAGUCGCCCACCUGCUUAAUUUUGCGGGUUCAAUACAAAACGUAGAUCACCGGUACCAAUACAGCCUUA